UGACGCUGGCGGUAGGCUUAACACAUGCAAGUCGAGCGAGAAAGUAUCUUCGGAUAUGAGUAGAGCGGCGGACGGGUGAGUAACGCGUAGGAAUCUACCUAGUAGAAGGGGAUAGCCCGGGGAAACUCGGAUUAAUACCGUAUACCUCCUAAGGGAGAAAGAGGGCCUCUCUUGAUGCUCUCGCUAUUAGAUGAGCCUGCGUAAGAUUAGCUUGUUGGUAAGGUAAUGGCUUACCAAGGCUACGAUCUUUAGCUGGUCUGAGAGGACGAUCAGCCACAUUGGGACUGAGACACGGCCCAGACUCCUACGGGAGGCAGCAGUGGGGAAUAUUGGACAAUGGGCGCAAGCCUGAUCCAGCCAUACCGCGUGUGUGAAGAAGGCCUUCGGGUUGUAAAGCACUUUAAGCAGGGAGAAAAAGUUAUAAGUUAAUACCUUAUAACCGUGAUGUUACCUGCAGAAUAAGCACCGGCUAAUUCCGUGCCAGCAGCCGCGGUAAUACGGAAGGUGCAAGCGUUAAUCGGAAUUACUGGGCGUAAAGCGCGCGUAGGUGGUUUGUUAAGUUGGAUGUGAAAGCCCUGGGCUCAACCUAGGAACUGCAUCCAAAACUAACUCACUAGAGUACGAUAGAGGGAGGUAGAAUUCAUAGUGUAGCGGUGGAAUGCGUAGAUAUUAUGAAGAAUACCAGUGGCGAAGGCGGCCUCCUGGAUCUGUACUGACACUGAGGUGCGAAAGCGUGGGUAGCGAACAGGAUUAGAUACCCUGGUAGUCCACGCCGUAAACGAUGACAACUAGCUGUUGGGAGAUAAUGUCUUUCAGUGGCGCAGCUAACGUUUUAAGUUGUCCGCC
This 846-nucleotide ribosomal RNA is filed under the name uncultured Gammaproteobacteria bacterium. RNAcentral's name for it is "bacterial SSU rRNA". It matches the Rfam family "Bacterial small subunit ribosomal RNA", at positions 31 to 873 of the family's 1533-position model. The record is from RNAcentral. Lineage: Bacteria; Pseudomonadati; Pseudomonadota; Gammaproteobacteria.